RNAcentral lists this long non-coding RNA (256 nucleotides) under Pan troglodytes (chimpanzee). Its description in RNAcentral is "lncRNA (ENSPTRG00000053982.1)". Lineage: Eukaryota; Metazoa; Chordata; Mammalia; Primates; Hominidae. The record is from RNAcentral.
CUCACCAAUGCUUUCUUCUUUUUUCUGCAUUAGAACCUUCACGCUGUGUUCUAGAUCUGUCUGGAAUAUGCCUCUGAAUCCUAAGACAGUCCCUACCCCACAGGAUCUCUGCUCAUGGUUAAAGAAAAGAAGUUGGGGCCGGGUGCAGUGGCUCACCUCUGUAAUCCCAGCAAUUUGGGAGGCUGAGGUGGGCGGAUCACGAGGUCAGGAGAUCGAGAUCAUCCUGGCUAACACGGUGAAACCCUGUCUCUACUAA